Molecule: ribosomal RNA, 254 nt
Filed under: uncultured bacterium
Lineage: Bacteria
Description: partial 16S ribosomal RNA
Rfam family: Bacterial small subunit ribosomal RNA
Source: RNAcentral
UACGUAGGGCGCAAGCGUUGUCCGGAAUUAUUGGGCGUAAAGAGCUCGUAGGCGGUUUGUCGCGUCUGCUGUGAAAACCUAAGGCUCAACCUUGGGCUUGCAGUGGGUACGGGCAGACUAGAGUGCGGUAGGGGUGACUGGAAUUCCUGGUGUAGCGGUGGAAUGCGCAGAUAUCAGGAGGAACACCGAUGGCGAAGGCAGGUCACUGGGCCGCAACUGACGCUGAGGAGCGAAAGCAUGGGGGAGCGAACAGG